Non-coding RNA from Pocillopora verrucosa, 227 nucleotides. The record is from RefSeq and is a predicted model, not a curated record. NCBI's taxonomy places the organism in Eukaryota, Metazoa, Cnidaria, Anthozoa, Scleractinia, Pocilloporidae.
UCUUCAUUAGGAGGUCAUAUGAAAUAUUCCUACUUUUGCUUCUUUUGUCCGCCAACUUUGAGAACCGAGUAAAACUCGUUCAGAUAUGAUUAUUGUAUCCAUUGCUCGAUACUGCUUUCAUCAUUCACAUUGCACAGAUCACAAGGCAACGAUAAGGACUGCAUUACAGACUAUAUGUGAGUUUCUAGAGAGGAACGGCAGUAAGCGUAGUCUCUUUUGCAACCGUU